This 138-nucleotide ribosomal RNA is filed under the name uncultured eukaryote. Its description in RNAcentral is "partial 18S ribosomal RNA". It matches the Rfam family "Eukaryotic small subunit ribosomal RNA", at positions 1299 to 1458 of the family's 1831-position model. The record is from RNAcentral.
UGGUGGAGUGAUUUGUCAGGUUAAUUCCCUAAACGAACGAGACCUUAACCUACUAAAUAGAAGUGUCUACGUCAGCUAGGCAUAUUCUUCUUAGAGGGACUAUGAAAUCUAAAUUCAUGGAAGUUUGAGGCAAUAACA